GAUCAUGGCUCAGGACGGACGCUGGCGGCGUGCCUAACACAUGCAAGUCGAGCGGGGAUUAUCGAAUGAAGUUUUCGGAUGGAUUUUGGUAAUUCUAGCGGCGGACGGGUGAGUAACGCGUGAGCAACCUGCCUUUCACACGGGAGUAACGCAUCGAAAGGGUAGGCACUAAUACCGCAUGAGACCACGCUCCCGACCAUGAGAGAGGGGUCGAAGGAAGCAAUCCGGUGAGAGAUGGGCGUCG
This 244-nucleotide ribosomal RNA is filed under the name uncultured bacterium. Its description in RNAcentral is "partial 16S ribosomal RNA". It matches the Rfam family "Bacterial small subunit ribosomal RNA", at positions 15 to 233 of the family's 1533-position model. The record is from RNAcentral.